UGUUCCUUCCCUAGAUUGGCAACUGACCUAGGUCGUGGGAGGGGACCGAGUCUUUCAGAAAUCCUUGGGUCAUUGAUUUUCGAGCAUAUGUAGAAGGGAUUCUCUCGACGUUGCUUUAGGAAGUCUCGGCAAUCACGAUAAACGGUUUUCGAUCAUUCCCAUCCUUCUGCAAUGAGGUGUCUUCCUCUACUUCUUCUGCUUCAGGUCAAAGCAUCUGGGUUGAGAGAAGUCUCAUGUUGAUCAAUGUUUUGAUGAUUAGCUCGCUCCUCAUCAGGGAUACCCAUGUCGAAAGGAGGUGACCCUCCGUGUUGGGGGUACCCAAAUGAUGGUUGAUGUCCACAGGGGCAACGAGCUCGGGUGUUUGAAUAUGCCUAGUUUCGUGGAGCGUCUCAAAGAGCUUCUCAUACUGCUCCUAGAGGACCUCAUUCUUCAUUGCUAUCUUGUUGUUCUGAGCUUCUAGCUCAUCGACUUUAGUUUGAAGAGCAACCAUUUUUCCUUCCUUCUUUCGUUGCUUCACACUAGGUGCAAGAAGGGUGUCAUUCUGUGUGUUGUGGCUUCAUUCACUCCCCAUGUUGGAGAGGGAUGCCUGGUCAAAAGAGAGUGUACGAAUGGUGGAAACCAGCUUGGCAAAGCUAAAGAGAGUG
RNAcentral lists this long non-coding RNA (644 nucleotides) under Malus domestica (apple). RNAcentral describes it as "long non-coding RNA (MDOM_LNC017682)". The record is from RNAcentral. Lineage: Eukaryota; Viridiplantae; Streptophyta; Magnoliopsida; Rosales; Rosaceae.